Molecule: ribosomal RNA, 250 nt
Filed under: uncultured bacterium
Lineage: Bacteria
Description: partial 16S ribosomal RNA
Rfam family: Bacterial small subunit ribosomal RNA
Source: RNAcentral
AUACGUAGGUGGCAAGCGUUGUCCGGAUUUAUUGGGCGUAAAGCGUAGCGCUAGGCGGUUUUUUAAGUCUGAUGUGAAAGACCUUCGGCUCAACCGAAGAAGUGCAUCGGAAACUGGGAAACUUGAGUGCAGAAGAGGACAGUGGAACUCCAUGUGUAGCGGUGGAAUGCGUAGAUAUAUAGAAGAACACCAGUGGCGAAGGCGGCUGUCUAGUCUGUAACUGACGCUGAGGCUCGAAAGCAUGGGUAGC